RNAcentral lists this ribosomal RNA (260 nucleotides) under uncultured bacterium. RNAcentral describes it as "partial 16S ribosomal RNA". It matches the Rfam family "Bacterial small subunit ribosomal RNA", at positions 526 to 779 of the family's 1533-position model. The record is from RNAcentral.
CGUAGGGCGCAAGCGUUGUCCGGAAUUAUUGGGCGUAAAAGAGCUUGUAGGUGGCUUGUCGCGUCUGCCGUGAAAACCCGAGGCUCAACCUCGGGCGGUGCGGUGGGGUACGGGGCGAGGCUAGAGUGUGGUAGGGGAGACUGGAACUCCUGGUGCAGCGGUGAAAUAGCGCAGAUAUCAGGAAGAACACCGAUGGCGAAGGCAGGUCGUCUGGGCCAUUACUGACACUGAGAAGCGAAAGCAUGGGGAGGCACAGGAUU